RNAcentral lists this long non-coding RNA (225 nucleotides) under Vigna radiata. RNAcentral describes it as "long non-coding RNA (VRAD_LNC005648)". The record is from RNAcentral. Lineage: Eukaryota; Viridiplantae; Streptophyta; Magnoliopsida; Fabales; Fabaceae.
AUACAAAUAACAUUUGAUUCUACCAAGUACAUUCCGAAGGACUUACUGACGGCUUAUUCCUUCAAUAAGUACUGAUAGUUUAAUCUUUCAGUAAUUACCUACGACUUAUUUCUUUGGUAAUUACUAAUGGUUUAAUCCUUCAAUAAUUACAGACAGCUUAAUUCUUCAGUAAUUAUCGAUGAUUUAUUCUAUCAGCAAUUAUUACAUAUAAAAGGUAUCACUGAC